UCCUUAUUAGCUCAGUUGGUAGAGCGUUCGGCUUUUAGAAUCACGUGACUAUUGUUAGUGAAUCCAAGACACCGAAACGUCCAGGGUUCGAGCCCCUGAUGAGGAG
Transfer RNA from Babjeviella inositovora NRRL Y-12698, 106 nucleotides. It matches the Rfam family "tRNA". Rfam says of the family: Transfer RNA (tRNA) molecules are approximately 80 nucleotides in length. Their secondary structure includes four short double-helical elements and three loops (D, anti-codon, and T loops). Further hydrogen bonds mediate the characteristic L-shaped molecular structure. tRNAs have two regions of fundamental functional importance: the anti-codon, which is responsible for specific mRNA codon recognition, and the 3' end, to which the tRNAs corresponding amino acid is attached (by aminoacyl-tRNA synthetases). tRNAs cope with the degeneracy of the genetic code in two manners: having more than one tRNA (with a specific anti-codon) for a particular amino acid; and 'wobble' base-pairing, i.e. permitting non-standard base-pairing at the 3rd anti-codon position. The record is from Rfam. Lineage: Eukaryota; Fungi; Ascomycota; Pichiomycetes; Serinales.